RNAcentral lists this ribosomal RNA (454 nucleotides) under uncultured bacterium. RNAcentral's name for it is "bacterial SSU rRNA". It matches the Rfam family "Bacterial small subunit ribosomal RNA", at positions 340 to 786 of the family's 1533-position model. The record is from RNAcentral.
UACGGAAGGCAGCAGGUGGGGAAUAUUGCACAAUGGGCGAAAGCCUGAUGCAGCUAUGCCGCGUGUAUGAAGAAGGCCUUAGGGUUGUAAAGUACUUUCAUCGGGGAGGAAAAAACAAAACUAAUAAUUUUAUUUCUUGACGUUACCCGAAAAAGAAGCACCGGCUAACUCCGUGCCAGCAGCCGCGGUAAUACGGAGGGUGCUAGCGUUAAUCAGAAUUACUGGGCGUAAAGAGCACGUAGGUGGUUUUUUAAGUCAGAUGUGAAUCCCUGGGCUUAACCUAGGAACUGCAUUUGAAACUGAAAUACUAGAGUAUCGUAGAGGGAGGUAGAAUUCUAGGUGUAGCGGUGAAAUGCGUAGAUAUCUGGAGGAAUACCUGUGGCGAAAGCGGCCUCCUAAACGAAUACUGACACUGAGGUGCGAAAGCGUGGGGAGCAAACAGGGAUUAGAUACC